This 497-nucleotide ribosomal RNA is filed under the name uncultured bacterium. RNAcentral's name for it is "partial 16S ribosomal RNA". It matches the Rfam family "Bacterial small subunit ribosomal RNA", at positions 28 to 507 of the family's 1533-position model. The record is from RNAcentral.
GAUGAACGCUGGCGGCGUGCCUAAUACAUGCAAGUCGAGCGAACAGACGAGGAUCUUGCUCCUCUGACGUUAGCGGCGGACGGGUGAUUAACACGUGGAUAACCUACCUAUAAGACUGGGAUAACUUCGGGAAACCUGAGCUAAUACCGGAUAAUAUAUUGAACCGCAUGGUUCAAUAGUGAAAGACGGUUUUGCUGUCACUUAUAGAUGGAUCCGCGCCGCAUUAGCUAGUUGGUAAGGUAACGGCUUACCAAGGCAACGAUGCGUAGCCGACCUGAGAGGGUGAUCGGCCACACUGGAACUGAGACACGGUCCAGACUCCUACGGGAGGCAGCAGUAGGGAAUCUUCCGCAAUGGGCGAAAGCCUGACGGAGCAACGCCGCGUGAGUGAUGAAGGUCUUCGGAUCGUAAAACUCUGUUAUUAGGGAAGAACAAAUGUGUAAGUAACUAUGCACGUCUUGACGGUACCUAAUCAGAAAGCCACGGCUAACUACGUG